This 359-nucleotide ribosomal RNA is filed under the name uncultured bacterium. Its description in RNAcentral is "bacterial SSU rRNA". It matches the Rfam family "Bacterial small subunit ribosomal RNA", at positions 772 to 1128 of the family's 1533-position model. The record is from RNAcentral.
ACCGAAUAGAUACCCUGGUAGUCCACGCCCUAAACUAUGCGAACUGGAUGUUGGGUACAUUACGGUACUCAGUGUCGAAAGCUAAACGCGUUAAGUUCGCCGCCUGGGGAGUACGGUCGCAAGACUGAAACUCAAAGGAAUUGACGGGGGCCCGCACAAGCGGUGGAGUAUGUGGUUUAAUUCGAUGCAACGCGAAGAACCUUACCUGGCCUUGACAUCUGUCGAAUCCUGCAGAGAUGCGGGAGUGCCGCAAGGAACGACAAGACAGGUGCUGCAUGGCUGUCGUCAGCUCGUGUCGUGAGAUGUUGGGUUAAGUCCCGCAACGAGCGCAACCCUUGUCCCUAGUUGCCAGCACAUCA